RNAcentral lists this ribosomal RNA (402 nucleotides) under uncultured bacterium. Its description in RNAcentral is "bacterial SSU rRNA". It matches the Rfam family "Bacterial small subunit ribosomal RNA", at positions 355 to 774 of the family's 1533-position model. The record is from RNAcentral.
UGGGGAAUAUUGGACAAUGGGCGCAAGCCUGAUCCAGCCAUGCCGCGUGAGUGAUGAAGGCCUUAGGGUUGUAAAGCUCUUUCGCCGGUGAAGAUAAUGACGGUAACCGGAGAAGAAGCCCCGGCUAACUUCGUGCCAGCAGCCGCGGUAAUACGAAGGGGGCUAGCGUUGCUCGGAAUUACUGGGCGUAAAGCGCACGUAGGCGGUUUCUUAAGUCGGGGGUGAAAUCCUGGAGCUCAACUCCAGAACUGCCUUCGAUACUGGGAAACUUGAGUUCGGGAGAGGUGAGUGGAACUGCGAGUGUAGAGGUGAAAUUCGUAGAUAUUCGCAAGAACACCAGUGGCGAAGGCGGCUCACUGGCCCGAUACUGACGCUGAGGUGCGAAAGCGUGGGGAGCAAACA